AUACGUAGGUGGCGAGCGUUGUCCGGAAUUACUGGGUGUGAAGGGCGUGUAGGCGGGGAUGCAAGUCAGAUGUGAAAUGCCGGGGCUUAACUCCGGAGCUGCAUCUGAAACUGUGUUUCUUGAGUGUCGGAGAGGAAAGCGGAAUUCCCAGUGUAGCGGUGAAAUGCGUAGAUAUUGGGAGGAACACCAAGGGCGAAGGCGGCUUUCUGGACGAUAACUGACGCUGAGGCGCGAAAGCGUGGGGAGCAAGCAGGAUUAGAUACCCUGGUAGUCCACGCCGUAAACGAUGGAUACUAGGUGUGGGAGGUAUCGACCCCUGCUGUGCCGGAGUUAACACAAUAAGCAUCCCACCCGGGGAGUACGGCCGCAAGGUUGA
Molecule: ribosomal RNA, 376 nt
Filed under: uncultured bacterium
Lineage: Bacteria
Description: bacterial SSU rRNA
Rfam family: Bacterial small subunit ribosomal RNA
Source: RNAcentral